GACGAACGCUGGCGGCGUGCCUAAUACAUGCAAGUAGAACGCUGAAGGAGGAGCUUGCUUCUCUGGAUGAGUUGCGGACGGGUGAGUAACGCGUAGGUAACCUGCCUGGUAGCGGGGGAUAACUAUUGGAAACGAUAGCUAAUACCGCAUAAUAGUAGAUGUUGCAUGACAUUUGCUUAAAAGGUGCAAUUGCAUCACUACCAGAUGGACCUGCGUUGUAUUAGCUAGUUGGUGAGGUAACGGCUCACCAAGGCGACGAUACAUAGCCGACCUGAGAGGGUGAUCGGCCACACUGGGACUGAGACACGGCCCAGACUCCUACGGGAGGCAGCAGUAGGGAAUCUUCGGCAAUGGACGGAAGUCUGACCGAGCAACGCCGCGUGAGUGAAGAAGGUUUUCGGAUCGUAAAGCUCUGUUGUAAGAGAAGAACGAGUGUGAGAGUGGAAAGUUCACACUGUGACGGUAUCUUACCAGAAAGGGACGGCUAACUACGUG
Molecule: ribosomal RNA, 495 nt
Filed under: uncultured bacterium
Lineage: Bacteria
Description: partial 16S ribosomal RNA
Rfam family: Bacterial small subunit ribosomal RNA
Source: RNAcentral